RNAcentral lists this transfer RNA (74 nucleotides) under Merops nubicus (carmine bee-eater). It matches the Rfam family "tRNA". From Rfam's summary of the family: Transfer RNA (tRNA) molecules are approximately 80 nucleotides in length. Their secondary structure includes four short double-helical elements and three loops (D, anti-codon, and T loops). The record is from Rfam by way of RNAcentral. Lineage: Eukaryota; Metazoa; Chordata; Aves; Coraciiformes; Meropidae.
GGCUGGUUAGCUAAGUUGGUUAGAGUGUGGUGCUAAUAAUGCCAAGCUUGCAGGUUUGAUUCCUGUAUGGGCCA